UACAGAGGUCUCAAGCGUUGUUCGGAUUCAUUGGGCGUAAAGGGUGCGUAGGCGGCGCGGUAAGUCGGGUGUGAAAUCUCGGAGCUUAACUCCGAAACUGCAUUCGAUACUGCCGUGCUUGAGGACUGGAGAGGAGACUGGAAUUUACGGUGUAGCGGUGAAAUGCGUAGAUAUCGUAAGGAAGACCAGUGGCGAAGGCGGGUCUCUGGACAGUUCCUGACGCUGAGACGCGAAAGCGUGGGGAGCGAACAGG
Molecule: ribosomal RNA, 253 nt
Filed under: uncultured bacterium
Lineage: Bacteria
Description: partial 16S ribosomal RNA
Rfam family: Bacterial small subunit ribosomal RNA
Source: RNAcentral